UACGUAGGGGGCAAGCGUUGUCCGGAUUUAUUGGGCGUAAAGAGCGUGUAGGCGGCCAGGUAGGUCUGCUGUGAAAACUCGAGGCUUAACCUCGAGCUGUCGGCGGAAACCAUCUGGCUAGAGUCCGGAAGAGGAGAAUGGAAUUCCCGGUGUAGCGGUGAAAUGCGCAGAUAUCAGGAGGAACACCGAUUGCGAAGGCAGCUUACUAUGGUUUUAUUGACACUGAGGCACGAAAGCGUGGGGAUCAAACAGG
RNAcentral lists this ribosomal RNA (253 nucleotides) under uncultured bacterium. RNAcentral describes it as "partial 16S ribosomal RNA". It matches the Rfam family "Bacterial small subunit ribosomal RNA", at positions 524 to 776 of the family's 1533-position model. The record is from RNAcentral.